This 253-nucleotide ribosomal RNA is filed under the name uncultured bacterium. RNAcentral describes it as "partial 16S ribosomal RNA". It matches the Rfam family "Bacterial small subunit ribosomal RNA", at positions 524 to 776 of the family's 1533-position model. The record is from RNAcentral.
UACAGAGAGUGCGAGCGUUAAUCGGAAUUACUGGGCGUAAAGCGCACGUAGGUGGAUUCUUAAGUCAGAUGUGAAAGCCCCGAGCUUAACUUGGGAAUUGCAUUUGAUACUGGGCGUCUAGAAUAUAGUAGAGGGAAGUGGAAUUUCCGGUGUAGCGGUGAAAUGCGUAGAUAUCGGAAGGAACAUCAGUGGCGAAAGCGGCUUCCUGGACUAAUAUUGACACUUAGGUGCGAAAGCGUGGGGAGCAAACAGG